This 119-nucleotide ribosomal RNA is filed under the name uncultured bacterium. RNAcentral's name for it is "partial 16S ribosomal RNA". The record is from RNAcentral.
CCCCCCCCCCCCCCAGUCCGCCCCGCGGCGGGCGGGGCGGGGGCACGGGGGGCCUACGGGAGGCAGCAGUGAGGAAUAUUGGUCAAUGGGCGCAAGCCUGACCAGCCAGCGCGGCAGGA